RNAcentral lists this non-coding RNA (24 nucleotides) under Arabidopsis thaliana (thale cress). Lineage: Eukaryota; Viridiplantae; Streptophyta; Magnoliopsida; Brassicales; Brassicaceae. The record is from RNAcentral.
CAAGUGUCUUUGUGGGUUUCUCAU